CAGCAGCCACGGUAAUACGGAGGGUGCAAGCGUUAUCCGGAUUUAUUGGGUUUAAAGGGUCCGUAGGCGGAUCUGUAAGUCAGUGGUGAAAUCUCACAGCUUAACUGUGAAACUGCCAUUGAUACUGCAGGUCUUGAGUAAAUUUGAAGUGGCUGGAAUAAGUAGUGUAGCGGUGAAAUGCAUAGAUAUUACUUAGAACACCAAUUGCGAAGGCAGGUCACUAAGAUUUAACUGACGCUGAUGGACGAAAGCGUGGGGAGCGAGCAGGAUUAGAUACCCCAGUAGUCCCUGUCUCUUAUAC
RNAcentral lists this ribosomal RNA (301 nucleotides) under uncultured bacterium. RNAcentral's name for it is "partial 16S ribosomal RNA". It matches the Rfam family "Bacterial small subunit ribosomal RNA", at positions 509 to 807 of the family's 1533-position model. The record is from RNAcentral.